UACGUAGGGGGCAAGCGUUGUCCGGAUUUAUUGGGCGUAAAGAGCGUGUAGGCGGCCAUACAGGUCAGCUGUGAAAACUCGAGGCUCAACCUCGAGACGUCGGUUGAAACCGUAUGGCUAGAGUCCGGAAGAGGAGAGUGGAAUUCCCGGUGUAGCGGUGAAAUGCGUAGAUAUCGGAAGGAACACCAGUGGCGAAAGCGGCUUCCUGGUCCAGCACCGACGUUCAGGCACGAAAGCGUGGGGAGCAAACAGG
RNAcentral lists this ribosomal RNA (253 nucleotides) under uncultured bacterium. RNAcentral's name for it is "partial 16S ribosomal RNA". It matches the Rfam family "Bacterial small subunit ribosomal RNA", at positions 524 to 776 of the family's 1533-position model. The record is from RNAcentral.